Long non-coding RNA from Rhopalosiphum padi (bird cherry-oat aphid), 657 nucleotides. RefSeq lists it as uncharacterized. The transcript is spliced from 3 exons. The record is from RefSeq and is a predicted model, not a curated record. NCBI's taxonomy places the organism in Eukaryota, Metazoa, Arthropoda, Insecta, Hemiptera, Aphididae.
UUCGAUAUCUGUGUAUAAUCUCGUUUUUCAUAGUUAUUUAUUGCUUUUUUCUAAAUAUAAUUUUUGUAUUCCUGGGAUAUACAAAAAUAUACAAAUUUACAAAAAAAAAAUAAAAAAAUAUUUUAAUUGUUUUCUGAAAAAAAUUCAAAAUUUUAUGAAAAUGGGAAAAGGUGUCGCAAUCGACUCAAAUUCAUCUCGCGAUCGACUGGUUGGCCACCCCUGGUAUAAGGUACCUAUUAUAAAAGCUAUACGACGAAACAACUCUACGGCGGCGGGUAUAGCAUAAUAUCAGGGUGGUAUAGAGGUGCUUGUACAUAAUACAUAUUUCUACGAAAUUCAAAGCGAUUCGGGAAGCAUAUUUGCAUUGUGCCACUCAUUCGCGUUAGAACAGCACAGCCCCGUUUGAGAUGGCACUGAAUUGAUUACUGUAUUCGUACGCCGCGGCAUUUCGCGGGACCGCGGUCGUCCGCCUUUGAAAACGCCGUCCGAUCACUUUCCUGUGGACUUAUAGCGGACAUGAAUAACGAGGACAAUAUCAUACACACUACGACGUGACAGGUAUACAGCAUUUGAGCGAGUACCGGCGGCACCCUCUGCCGAUCGUCCGAAGAGGAGCAGCACCGUGUGCUUUCGGGGGUGGCGGUGGCGGUGAUUUGG